RNAcentral lists this ribosomal RNA (155 nucleotides) under chlamydia-associated clinical sample 551-S. Its description in RNAcentral is "partial 16S ribosomal RNA". It matches the Rfam family "Bacterial small subunit ribosomal RNA", at positions 1381 to 1533 of the family's 1533-position model. The record is from RNAcentral.
UUGUACACACCGCCCGUCACACCACGAGAGUUUGUAACACCCGAAGUCGGUGAGGUAACCUUUUUGGAGCCAGCCGCCUAAGGUGGGAUAGAUGAUUGGGGUGAAGUCGUAACAAGGUAGCCGUAUCGGAAGGUUGCGGCUGGAUCACCUUCCUU